GUUGGCUGUACCAGAAGUAGGUAGCCUAACCGCAAGGGGGGCGCUUACCACGGUGUGGUUCAUGACUGGGGUGAAGUCGUAACAAGGUAGCCGUAGGUGAACCUGCAGAAGGAUCA
This 116-nucleotide ribosomal RNA is filed under the name uncultured eukaryote. Its description in RNAcentral is "partial small subunit ribosomal RNA". It matches the Rfam family "Bacterial small subunit ribosomal RNA", at positions 1410 to 1525 of the family's 1533-position model. The record is from RNAcentral.